CUGAUACAAAGAAGAAAUUAAAUGGGGAAUUAGGGUUAGAAGUGGGACCAUGGAGUUCUUGAACUCAGAAGCUUCUCCUCUUCACGCGAACACGACGGCGCCGGUGUUCAAGCUCUUCUCUGGUCGGAGCUUCUCCGCCUCGAUUCAUACUCUCGAUUCCAUCUCUUUCUCCGUCGUUUAUCUCUCAGACUCUCAAGUCUUCGUCUCAAUCGAGCACUUCUUCGUUCCGAUUCAACUUCUCGCCACCGUAGCUUAUGGCGGAGAACACAAACGAAUAUGCAGCAAUGAGAGACGCUUGCCGACCGGAGAGCGUCCGCCGCACCUCCGAAGACCGCGAGAUCAACAAGAAAACCGUAAAUCUUUCAUCGCGCAAAGUUCAGAAAAUGGAGUUGUUGUUGAUGCUGAGGCGAUGAUGAUGAUGAACGUUGUUGCGUUGAUGUUGUUGUACGUGAAAUGGUGAAUUCGUUAGAAUUUUGUGCGAUGAAGAAAAACGGAUCGAGAGUGAAUCUUGAGGAUGAUGAAGGUUAUCGUCUUCUGGUAAUUGUAUGAAGAACGUAGAGUUGUGGAUUGAAGGAUUCAGAUGUUGUUGAAUCUGUGUUCUCAGAUUGAAGAAGUGUGGAGAAUAGGUGAUGAAGUUUGUUGAUGAAGAGAGAAGGAUCUGGAUUCUGUUACAGGUUGUUACUCUUUUCUGUUAUGCUUUUGUGUUAUCGAUUUUCUCUUGUGAAUUCUGUUACAGAUUCUUUCGUUUUUUCCUUCUUCUUUUCUGAGUUUUUGCGAUGAUUGGAGGAUUGAAGAAUGAAUCGUGAGAUGAUGAUAUUGAAGGUUUAUGGAGCUUAUCUGUUAUGGCUGAAGGUUGGAUAAAGAUUGAUUGAAGAAGCUUGGAGAAGAUGAAGAUUGAAGAGAGUUUGUUACGGAUUCGAGGCGGCUUGAUUUUGAGGCUUUUUCUUGACUGUGUAUUAUCCAAAGGAUAUGGAUCAAGGUUGAAGUGCUUGAUGAAGGGCCUUGAAGAUUGUCAAUAGGCUAACAAUAUUUGUAUUUUUUCACUAUUCAGGACGAUGACAAAACUUGUAAUGUAUGGAUGUUGUGAAUUCGACUUGAAUGACCUUGUAAUGAACUUUUGAAUAUUGAACAUAAUCACACUUGAA
Molecule: long non-coding RNA, 1145 nt
Organism: Vicia villosa (hairy vetch)
Lineage: Eukaryota; Viridiplantae; Streptophyta; Magnoliopsida; Fabales; Fabaceae
Exons: 3
Source: RefSeq, a predicted model, not a curated record